CAUACCNACUANCUCCUCCUAACAUCCUUACCCCCAAAUCCUUCCUCACUCAUCACAUCGCUCUAUCACCUUUCCCCCAUUGUCCAUAUUCCCCACUGCUGCCUCCCNU
Molecule: ribosomal RNA, 109 nt
Filed under: uncultured Gammaproteobacteria bacterium
Lineage: Bacteria; Pseudomonadati; Pseudomonadota; Gammaproteobacteria
Description: partial 16S ribosomal RNA
Source: RNAcentral